AUAUCUAUAGUGGAAAAACACACAAAUAAUAGGUACUCCUCCACUCAGAAUCAUUUUUUUAUUUGCAAUACUUUAUCGUUGCAUACGGUUUAUUAAAAUGAAUUACCAUAAUAUGGUAAUAAUAAUAUAAUAUUUUAUUUUUCUCGUAAUAAAAGAAUACUAGGCCCCACUCUGAUAUGGGGGCCUAAUUUAGGAAUCUAAUUUAGUUUAUACAACACAUACAUUAUACAACCAUAUGAUCUAACUAUAUAACCACGGAUGAUCUAACUAAAUAAAUGACAAUAUUAGUCUAGUUUAUUU
Non-coding RNA from Cinara cedri, 300 nucleotides. Lineage: Eukaryota; Metazoa; Arthropoda; Insecta; Hemiptera; Aphididae. The record is from the annotation of a GenBank genome assembly.